ACCUUAUUCCCUAUCUAUCUAAUUACACAUUAGAGCUGUAAUAUGCCAUUCCACAUCCAUGGGUCUCAGAUGAAUGGUCCCCCCCGCUCUCCGUCGCUCCUCUCAUCUGCCGCCUUCUAUCCUUCCUCUUUUACCUCCUUCCACCCCUCCCUCCAUCUUGUUCCGGCCAGCUUCCCUCAAUUACUGUCACAGGCGGCCCACAACAUUUCAUCGGGAGGGCCGGGCGGACGGGGUGAAGCCGAGGGAGGAGAGACGCUUGUGAUGAGAGGAGGAGACAUAGCAAGAGUUUGUAUUUACAGCUGGUAUCCCAGCAGCAGCAACAGCAGCACCAGCAGCAGGUGCUUGUAUGCAGAGGGACCUUCAUAAACGCGCCGCACGCCACCUGCAGCUGCACAUGCAUGAAGACAAGACAAGGGAGGUUCCAAAGAGCAUUUUGGGGUGUGGUGAAAAGAUGUGCGGCAUUAAUUGAAUAGUGCUGCGGGGGUCCCGAGUCCCUAAUUAGGCACAAGGGGCUGUGACAUCGCCGACACGGGAACAAGAGAUCUUGGGAAGACACGCAAGCGGGGAGUUGAAGGACGACCACGGGGGAAAAACCUUGCACGGUAACACAUCCCAAGGCCUUUGAGAGGCUAUUGUGAGCACACACGCGCACGCACACGCACGCACGCGCACGCACGGGGUGUGGAAAGCGGAUAACGCGA
Long non-coding RNA from Syngnathus typhle (broad-nosed pipefish), 701 nucleotides. RefSeq lists it as uncharacterized. The transcript has 3 exons. NCBI's taxonomy places the organism in Eukaryota, Metazoa, Chordata, Actinopteri, Syngnathiformes, Syngnathidae. The record is from RefSeq and is a predicted model, not a curated record.